GACGAACGCUGGCGGCGUGCUUAACACAUGCAAGUCGAACGGAAAGGCCCUGCUUUUGUGGGGUGCUCGAGUGGCGAACGGGUGAGUAACACGUGAGUAACCUGCCCUUGACUUUGGGAUAACUUCAGGAAACUGGGGCUAAUACCGGAUAUGAGCUCCUGCUGCACGGUGGGGGUUGGAAAGUUUCGGCGGUAGGGGAUGGACUCGCGGCUUAUCAGCUUGUUGGUGGGGUAGUGGCUUACGAAGGCUUUGACGGGUAGCCGGCAUGAGAGGGUUAACGGCCACAUGGGGCCUGAGAUACGGCGCAGACGCCUACGGGAGGCAGCAGUGGGGAAUAUUGCGCAGUGGGCGGAAGCGUGAGGCAGCAACGCCGCGUGCGGGAUGACGGGUUUCGGGUUGUAAACCGCUGUCGACUGUGACGAAGCGUGAGUGACGGUAAUUGGUAAAGAAGCACCGGCUAACUACGUG
This 468-nucleotide ribosomal RNA is filed under the name uncultured bacterium. Its description in RNAcentral is "partial 16S ribosomal RNA". It matches the Rfam family "Bacterial small subunit ribosomal RNA", at positions 28 to 507 of the family's 1533-position model. The record is from RNAcentral.